This 424-nucleotide ribosomal RNA is filed under the name Verrucomicrobiota bacterium. RNAcentral's name for it is "Verrucomicrobia bacterium partial 16S ribosomal RNA". It matches the Rfam family "Bacterial small subunit ribosomal RNA", at positions 355 to 776 of the family's 1533-position model. The record is from RNAcentral. Lineage: Bacteria; Pseudomonadati; Verrucomicrobiota.
UGAGGAAUAUUGGUCAAUGGACGCAAGUCUGAACCAGCCAAGUAACGUGCAGGAUGACGGCCCUAUGGGUUGUAAACUGCUUUUAUAUGGGGAUAAAGUGGGGAACGUGUUCCCUUUUGCAGGUACCAUAUGAAUAAGGACCGGCUAAUUCCGUGCCAGCAGCCGCGGUAAUACGGAAGGUUCGGGCGUUAUCCGGAUUUAUUGGGUUUAAAGGGAGCGUAGGCCGUUUGGUAAGCGUGUUGUGAAAUGUAGGAGCUCAACUUCUAGAUUGCAGCGCGAACUGUCAGACUUGAGUGCGCACAACGUAGGCGGAAUUCAUGGUGUAGCGGUGAAAUGCUUAGAUAUCAUGAAGAACUCCGAUUGCGAAGGCAGCUUACGGGAGCGCAACUGACGCUGAAGCUCGAAGGUGCGGGUAUCGAACAGG